RNAcentral lists this ribosomal RNA (461 nucleotides) under Photobacterium sp. CS7. Its description in RNAcentral is "bacterial SSU rRNA". It matches the Rfam family "Bacterial small subunit ribosomal RNA", at positions 12 to 467 of the family's 1533-position model. Lineage: Bacteria; Pseudomonadati; Pseudomonadota; Gammaproteobacteria; Vibrionales; Vibrionaceae. The record is from RNAcentral.
UUUGAUGGUGGCUCAGAUUGAACGCUGGCGGCAGGCCUAACACAUGCAAGUCGAGCGGUAACAGAAAAGAAGCUUGCUUCUUUUGCUGACGAGCGGCGGACGGGUGAGUAAUGCCUGGGAAUAUACCCUGAUGUGGGGGAUAACUAUUGGAAACGAUAGCUAAUACCGCAUAAUCUCUUCGGAGCAAAGAGGGGGACCUUCGGGCCUCUCGCGUCAGGAUUAGCCCAGGUGGGAUUAGCUAGUUGGUGGGGUAAUGGCUCACCAAGGCGACGAUCCCUAGCUGGUCUGAGAGGAUGAUCAGCCACACUGGAACUGAGACACGGUCCAGACUCCUACGGGAGGCAGCAGUGGGGAAUAUUGCACAAUGGGGGAAACCCUGAUGCAGCCAUGCCGCGUGUAUGAAGAAGGCCUUCGGGUUGUAAAGUACUUUCAGUUGUGAGGAAGGCGUUGGAGUUAAUAGC